CUCAUAAUCUGUUCUCUAUUUCUGCAAUUUUGCUAUUCAAGGUGUUAUAUCAAUGGAAUCCCACAGAGCAUAAUAGUAGAGAUUUAAUGUUUUCCCUUCAGUGUAUUUCUCUGCAAUUCAUUCAGGUUGUUUUCCAGGCUCUUGUGAGUAAAGCUGCUGUGAAUAUGCAUACCAGAUGUCUGUGUGAACGCAAGUUUUCACUCUGCUGAGACACAUCUCCAAGGGAGCAGUUGCUGAGGGACAAAACCCGCCAAACCGCUUUCCUGCUUGGCUUCCUCCACGACUCGCCCCAGAGGUCCAGAAGUGACCAUCCCACUGGUGCCACAUACUCACUACCUCUCAUUAUGGUGUGAUCGAGAGCGGCCGAAGCCGUGUGCAAUAAUAUACACGUAUAAAUAUUUGAACAGGAAAAAGAACGUCUGCCUGGUGUAGACCAAGGAAGAAAUGCAUUUAAACACCUCAUGCCACUGGAGGGACCUUGACUUGGAGCCACAGCAGGCAAGGAGUGCUGACAGGGCUUUGAUAGCCUGUAUUUGCCAUGGCGGGCUGCAGUCAGAGCCAGGCUCUGCCCCCUCCCUGGGGCCUCUCUCUGGUGGGACACCCAGCGGCCUGCAGUUCUUCUGUGUCUGCCUGUUAUCUGGCUGAGCCCAGGGAAGCUAAGCUCUCAGUCUUUCUUCUAAACUAAACUGAAUGUGGAGCUUGUGUAUUUGACUCUGGACCACAGAGGGGUCCUUUGGUGUAACAGCAAUGGGGUGGGCCCUUCCCAAGCCACUGAAGAGUCUCCAUGAAUAUAUCCUGCCAUCUGCAUCUUAGCCAUUAAAAUUCCGG
Non-coding RNA from Heterocephalus glaber (naked mole-rat), 828 nucleotides. The record is from RefSeq and is a predicted model, not a curated record. Lineage: Eukaryota; Metazoa; Chordata; Mammalia; Rodentia; Bathyergidae.